CCUUUCUUAUUUGCCGCGCCAAAUUGAUAGUUUUUUCAAUUUAUAUUAACCCUAAAAAAAUCAUGUCUUUCUCUAUUUCUCUCUCUCUCUCUCUCACUCUCUCUUCAGUUUCUUUAUCUGUAAAAGAAGAAGAAGAAGAAGGAUGUUUUACUCUCAGACGUUUCUUGCUCGGAAGGGCCCUCUGGGUACAGUGUGGUGCGCCGCUCAUCUUCAACACCGCCUCAAGAAGUCUCACUAUACCUCCACCGAUAUCUCCUCCACCGUCGAUCGCAUUAUGUUUCCAGAAGUUCCCAUUGCGCUGAGAAUGUCAGGCCAUCUCCUGUUAGGUGUUGUUCGGAUAUAUUCGAAGAAAGUUGAUUUCCUUUACCAUGAUUGUAAUGUUGUUCUUGUUGGGUUAAGAAAGGCAUUUACUUCUAUAGAAGUUAAUUUGCCGGAGAAUGCAACAACAGCUAAAUUUGAAUCUGUCACUUUGCCUCCAACAUUUGACCUUGAUGCCUUGGAUGUGGACUUUGACAUUGAUGCUUAUGGGUCUCCGGAUAAUCAUAUGAGGAGUCAAGAGGAAAUAACACUUCAAGAUCAGAUUCCUACUGACAGAGAUCCUUAUGUUGUUAUAUCUUUUGAUGAGGAUGUCAUGAUGGAUACAUUACCACCAGAAGAGGAACUGAAUGCAGGAAUCAGGCCAACGGAGGACAUCGUUCCUCCAUCAGGAGUUGAUACUGAUAUGGCUUCCCCGCAUACCAUUCCUAGUAGUCGGAUUGAAGUGACUUCAGAAACUGUUGAUCUUCAAGAUUCAGGCCCAACUAAUUUAACAGAAGUGCUUAUGGAUUUUGCUGAUCUUCAAGAAACUUGUCCUAGCAACAAGACGGAAUUACAGACUCAGACUCUGGAUUUUCAAGAGCCUGGUCCAAGUAAUCAGACUGAGGUUCUUAAUUCAGCAAUUAACAAUGACAAUUUCCCUCCAGAAAUUGAAGUUUUGCGUGAUCAUGUUGAUGUUUUUAGUUCGGAAAACCUUCCUCCAGUGUUUACCCAUCAGCAAAAUGAUGCAUCUGAACCAAAUAUAUCUUUAGACCAAGGUUUGAAUGAGAAGAAAACUCCCUCUCCAUUUAAGGAGGAUGUCAUACCUUCUGGAGGGCAGUCUUCACCAUUUCAGCAGCGUUCAGAAUCCCCUAAUUCUGCUUCACGAGAUGCACCUGGAAUCUUUGAUUCACAUAUUUCAUUUGGGCGUGUAUCACCUGAACUUGCCAUACGUUCAACGCCAGCUGUUCAGCAGCCAAGACCUAGGACAAGAAAGAGAAAGCAUUUCUUUGAUGAGGCCACAGUGUUAACCAAUAAAUUCAUGAAGAAGGCAUUAGAAAAUUCUAAGGAUAUAUUGAGAAAGAGGAGGGAAAUCCCUUCUACUGCUUUGGGUAUAUGGAAGUUGCGCAACAGUCUAAGAAAGGAGCAAGUCCUUUCCGAGCCUUUGUUAACUGGGUCUUGUGCUGAUCUAUGCAAUCUUUUAAAGGACUAUAUUUCUGGAAAACCUCAUUUGACUCUUGAAAGGGAAGUUACACCAGAGCCCAGGGUUACAACAUCUGCUCCUGCAAUUGAAGUAAUUCCAGAGUGGCGGGAUGCAACUUCUCCUGCUCGUUCAACAGUUGCGAUUUUAGAGUCUAUAGCUGCAACUUCUCCCACUUCUGCAACAGAAAUGAUCUCAGAGAGCAGGACUACAACUUCGCCUGCUCCUGCAACUGAAAACAUUCCAGAGCCUAUGUUUGCACAACCUUCUGUACCUGAAGUUGAACCUGAUCUAGAAAUUGAACGUCUUCGACAACAUGAAGGCCAUGAUGCCAACAUUCUGUUACCUGAACUCCUGCCUUCUCCAGGAAGAUUUCCGCCUUCUCCUUUUAGAAGAGAUGACUUCACUCCCAACUCAAUGAAAAGCUUAGGAUCAGAAACAGCACAUUGGGCUGGAACAAGUGCUGGAACUGAAGUAUUGCCUACACCAGAUAUUGCAGCAUCCACUGGCACUUACACUACUGAUCUGGAAACACCCAGGACGUUUUUGGAAGAGCAAUUUGAUGCAGGGCACACUGGACUUUCAGAUAUUCCUGAAUUUGUUAAUACUGCAGAAGCAGAGGACCUUUAUUUCCUGGAAGCAGACAAUAGCCCAGCUGGUUCUCCAGGCUCUCAAGGCAUUGAUUCACUGUCUGUGAGAACAAGGGCUGUGGCUCAAUAUUUAAAAAGAAACUCUCCGAUAACCCCAGUAUCAGAAGACCUAUCUGGAGAUCUCAGUCUCAACAGGAUCUUACAAGGAAAAACAAGAAAAUUAUGUGCUCGAAUGUUUUUUGAAACACUGAUGCAGUAGAUGAUAGAAAUUGGAGAAUGUUGAAGAAAGUAUAGCAAAUAGAGGAAAAAAGCAAUGAAGACCUGGAAAUUAGAAGUUUUGAAGAGUUAUGGACUUAUUGAUGUACGACAAGAGGAACCUUAUGGUGACAUUGCUUUGAAGUUGACUUCUAGACUGUCAAAGGCCCAAAUAUGAUAUAGGUUUAGCAGGGCUGUUUCUAUCUAGUACUGUGCUUCUCUUUGUAAAGCAGCUCCUUAUUUACAGCUAUUCAUUGUUGGGCUGCUUGGCAAAAGGAUAGAUAUUGAGAAGGAAGAUCAGAAGAGAAUCAAGAGGAACUGUACAGCAAACGGCAAUUGGAAUGUGGAGAUUUUGUGAUAGUUAGUCUACAUCCAAGCUCAUAGAAGUAUUCAGUCUGUAUCAUAGAAUGGUAAUACAGGUGUUGUAAUUAACAACUCAGUUAUGGUCCUAACUUAUUGUAAUUAGAGGUUCAAUCUCGUCAUAUUUUAAUUUAAUUUAAUCCUUUUUAGUGGUGA
Ricinus communis (castor bean) is the source of this 2856-nucleotide RNA transcript. It is a transcript of the gene named sister chromatid cohesion 1 protein 3, with no coding region annotated. The record is from RefSeq and is a predicted model, not a curated record. The transcript is spliced from 15 exons. Lineage: Eukaryota; Viridiplantae; Streptophyta; Magnoliopsida; Malpighiales; Euphorbiaceae.